GACGAACGCUGGCGGCGUGCUUAACACAUGCAAGUCGAACGGAAAGGCCCUGCUUUUGUGGGGUGCUCGAGUGGCGAACGGGUGAGUAACACGUGAGUAACCUGUCCUUGACUUUGGGAUAACUUCAGGAAACUGGGGCUAAUACCGGAUAGGAGCUCCUGCUGCAUGGUGGGGGUUGGAAAGUUUCGGCGGUUGGGGAUGGACUCGCGGCUUAUCAGCUUGUUGGUGGGGUAGUGGCUUACCAAGGCUUUGACGGGUAGCCGGCCUGAGAGGGUGACCUGCCACAUUGGGACUGAGAUACGGCCCAGACUCCUACGGGAGGCAGCAGUGGUGAAUAUUGCACAAUGGGCGGAAGCCUGAUGCAGCAACGCCGCGUGCGGGAUGACGGCCUUCGGGUUGUAAACCGCUUUCGCCUGUGACGAAGCGUGAGUGACGGUAAUGGGUAAAGAAGCACCGGCUAACUACGUG
Molecule: ribosomal RNA, 468 nt
Filed under: uncultured bacterium
Lineage: Bacteria
Description: partial 16S ribosomal RNA
Rfam family: Bacterial small subunit ribosomal RNA
Source: RNAcentral